GGCUGAGGAGGAUACAGAUUCCUAUCUUUUACCCUAAAAAAAAGAAAAAAAGAAAAAGAAAAGAAAGAGAGAAAAGAAAAUCAAGACCUGCAGACUUAAGAUGCGACUGGAGACUCACGCCACUACUCAGGGGUAGAGCUGAGUCCAAACCCAAAUCAAAGACCCCAAAGCCGCAUAUUCUGCCCAGAAAUGUGACAAUCCAAGUGAUCCCUCACCUCCUUGUACACUCAACGUAGCCAUUCCCGGUAAGUAACCUCCAAGGCUAUAGCAGUAUUAUUCCUCUGGACUUCAAAAAGGUAGUGGCUUCUGGGGAUUUAGCUCAGUGGUUCUGCUGCCUGCCUCGCAAGCGCAAGGUCUGAACUCCCAGUGCGCGCGCACACACACACACACACACAC
This 396-nucleotide long non-coding RNA is filed under the name Fukomys damarensis (Damara mole-rat). RNAcentral's name for it is "lncRNA (ENSFDAG00000023432.1)". The record is from RNAcentral. Lineage: Eukaryota; Metazoa; Chordata; Mammalia; Rodentia; Bathyergidae.